This 200-nucleotide ribosomal RNA is filed under the name uncultured bacterium. RNAcentral's name for it is "partial 16S ribosomal RNA". It matches the Rfam family "Bacterial small subunit ribosomal RNA", at positions 8 to 205 of the family's 1533-position model. The record is from RNAcentral.
AGAGUUUGAUCCUGGCUCAGAAUCAACGCUGGCGGCGUGCCUAACACAUGCAAGUCGAGCGAGAAAAGGGCUUCGGCCCUGAGUAAAGCGGCGCACGGGUGAGUAAUACGUGGGUAAUCUGCCCUCGAGUGGGGAAUAACACCGGGAAACCGGUGCUAAUACCGCAUACGAUCACGGAGUCUGCGGAUUUUGUGAUGAAA